This 513-nucleotide ribosomal RNA is filed under the name uncultured bacterium. RNAcentral's name for it is "partial 16S ribosomal RNA". It matches the Rfam family "Bacterial small subunit ribosomal RNA", at positions 28 to 523 of the family's 1533-position model. The record is from RNAcentral.
GAUGAACGCUGGCGGCGUGCCUAAUACAUGCAAGUCGAGCGAACAGAUGAGAAGCUUGCUUCUCUGAUGUUAGCGGCGGACGGGUGAGUAACACGUGGGUAACCUACCUAUAAGACUGGGAUAACUUCGGGAAACCGGAGCUAAUACCGGAUAAUAUUUCGAAUCGCAUGGUUCGAUAGUGAACGAUGGUUUUGCUAUCACUUAUAGAUGGACCCGCGCCGUAUUAGCUAGUUGGUAAGGUAACGGCUUACCAAGGCGACGAUACGUAGCCGACCUGAGAGGGUGAUCGGCCACACUGGAACUGAGACACGGUCCAGACUCCUACGGGAGGCAGCAGUAGGGAAUCUUCCGCAAUGGGCGAAAGCCUGACGGAGCAACGCCGCGUGAGUGAUGAAGGUCUUCGGAUCGUAAAACUCUGUUAUUAGGGAAGAACAUACGUGUAAGUAACUGUGCACGUCUUGACGGUACCUAAUCAGAAAGCCACGGCUAACUACGUGCCAGCCGCCGCAGUAA